Paramisgurnus dabryanus is the source of this 808-nucleotide long non-coding RNA. RefSeq lists it as uncharacterized. The record is from RefSeq and is a predicted model, not a curated record. Lineage: Eukaryota; Metazoa; Chordata; Actinopteri; Cypriniformes; Cobitidae.
CGCGAACCAUUACUGCCUGGACUACUCCGUCUCUUUGUUUGUGUUUGCUCAUUAACAGUAAGAGGUCAUGUACACUGUGGUCAACUUUGUGGACGAUGAAGAGGUUUCUGGGUAAAGAUGAUGUGUUUGCCAGAGAAAUAUAAUGAAGUAACAGUGAAAGCUAAAACAUCAGAUUGAUCCAGACAUUGAAGAAAUUGAUGUCACUGCAAUCUGGCCAAAAUGAUACAACUAUAUUGAAGUAGCCUACUGUAAUGAAGCUGCAGAACAACACAGAGACUCUGAGGACAUCAACACAGAAAAUGAAGGCUCCAAAGAGAUGUCUGUCCAGAUGAGGGUGCAUCAACGUUACCUUUGCUGACAAGUAUAUGCUUUACAAUGUAAAACCUAACAGUUAACUUAACUCAAACCAUUUAAGGAAAUCGGUUGCCUUAACCCAUUAAGUUUCAAAAAAACAUACAUUUGAGUACUGUGAACUUAAGUCUUGUGCAAUUAUGCACUUAUAUUUAGUUAGUGUGAACUUAAAUAUAAGUGCAUAACUGCAUGUGACUCAAUUUGUUUGAAAACUUAAAUGGUUUAAUGCAACCGGUUUUCUUAAAUGGUUUGAGUUUAGUUAACUUUUAGGUUUUACAGUGAGAAAUUCUUGAAUAAUUCCAAGACAGACCUCUGCAAUUGUAUCUACACUGCAAAAAAUCAGUUUCUAACUUAGGAUUUUUAUCUUGUUUUUAGUAGAAAAACUAAAAAUUCUUAAAUCAUUCAAUUACCUAAGAAAAUGUCUAGUUUUUAGACAAAAAUAUACAAUUUAAGUAAA